GACGAACGCUGGCGGCGUGCUUAACACAUGCAAGUCGAACGGAAAGGCCCUGCUUUUGUGGGGUGCUCGAGUGGCGAACGGGUGAGUAACACGUGAGUAACCUGCCCUUGACUUUGGGAUAACUUCAGGAAACUGGGGCUAAUACCGGAUAGGAGCUCCUGCUGCAUGGUGGGGGUUGGAAAGUUUCGGCGGUUGGGGAUGGACUCGCGGCUUAUCAGCUUGUUGGUGGGGUAGUGGCUUACCAAGGCUUUGACGGGUAGCCGGCCUGAGAGGGUGACCGGCCACAUUAGGACUGAGAUACGGCCCAGACUCCUACGGGAGGCAGCAGUAGGGAAUAUUGCACAAUAGGCGGAAGCCUGAUGCAGCAACGCCGCGUGCGGGAUGACGGCCUUCGGGUUGUAAACCGCUUUCGCCUGUGACGAAGCGUGAGUGACGGUAAUGGGUAAAGAAGCACCGGCUAACUACGUG
Molecule: ribosomal RNA, 468 nt
Filed under: uncultured bacterium
Lineage: Bacteria
Description: partial 16S ribosomal RNA
Rfam family: Bacterial small subunit ribosomal RNA
Source: RNAcentral